CUACGGGCUGCUCCAGUGGGGAAUAUUGCACAAUGGGGGGAACCCUGAUGCAGCAACGCCGCGUGGAGGAUGACACUUUUCGGAGCGUAAACUCCUUUUAUAUAGGAAGAAGAUGACGGUACUAUAUGAAUAAGCGCCGGCUAACUCCGUGCCAGCAGCCGCGGUAAUACGGAGGGCGCAAGCGUUACUCGGAAUCACUGGGCGUAAAGAGCGUGUAGGCGGAUUAAAAAGUCAGAAGUGAAAUCCUAUAGCUUAACUAUAGAACUGCUUCUGAAACUCUUAAUCUAGAAUAUGGGAGAGGUAGAUGGAAUUUCUGGUGUAGGGGUAAAAUCCGUAGAGAUCAGAAGGAAUACCGAUUGCGAAGGCGAUCUACUAGAACAUUAUUGACGCUGAGACGCGAAAGCGUGGGGAGCAAACAGGAUUAGAUACCCUGGUAGUC
This 439-nucleotide ribosomal RNA is filed under the name uncultured bacterium. RNAcentral's name for it is "partial 16S ribosomal RNA". It matches the Rfam family "Bacterial small subunit ribosomal RNA", at positions 339 to 795 of the family's 1533-position model. The record is from RNAcentral.